CCUACGGGCGGCAGCAGUGAGGAAUAUUGGUCAAUGGACGAGAGUCUGAACCAGCCAAGUAGCGUGAAGGAUGACUGCCCUAUGGGUUGUAAACUUCUUUUAUAUGGGAAUAAAAUGUUCCACGUGUGGGAUUUUGUAUGUACCAUAUGAAUAAGGAUCGGCUAACUCCGUGCCAGCAGCCGCGGUAAUACGGAAGAUCCGAGCGUUAUCCGGAUUUAUUGGGUUUAAAGGGAGCGUAGGUGGAUUGUUAAGUCAGUUGUGAAAGUUUGCGGCUCAACCGUAAAAUUGCAGUUGAAACUGGCAGUCUUGAGGACAGUAGAGGUGAGCGGAAUUCGUGGUGUAGCGGUGAAAUGCUUAGAUAUCACGAAGAACUCCGAUUGCGAAGGCAGUUCACUGGACUGCAACUGACACUGAGGCUCGAAAGUGUGGGUAUCAAACAGGAUUAGAUACCCGAGUAGUC
Molecule: ribosomal RNA, 460 nt
Filed under: uncultured bacterium
Lineage: Bacteria
Description: partial 16S ribosomal RNA
Rfam family: Bacterial small subunit ribosomal RNA
Source: RNAcentral